UUUUGGUGUAAGGUUGGUGUGUAGCAGAAGGAAAAAAAUGGAGAGAGAUGUAUGUGGUAGUAUGAGUUAACGUGAAGAAAGGGAUGAGGGUAGAAGAAAAUGGUUUGAAAUUCUAUGUGUGAGAGAGAAGAAUCAAGGAGGGUGGCGGCAUACUAUUGGUUCAUUGAUUCUUUUUUAUUCAAAAUUUGAGAGAGAGAGAGAGAGAGAGAGAGAGAGAGAGAGAGAGAGAGAGGGUCA
Molecule: long non-coding RNA, 237 nt
Filed under: Lathyrus oleraceus (garden pea)
Lineage: Eukaryota; Viridiplantae; Streptophyta; Magnoliopsida; Fabales; Fabaceae
Description: Pisum sativum (pea) long non-coding RNA (PSAT_LNC028625)
Source: RNAcentral